UCUUAUGUACAUGCCUACAACAUAGUGUUAAUGCAUCAUAUCCCAUUAGAACUCCAUAGUUAAGCAUGCUCGGGAUAGAGUAGUACUAGGAUGGGUGACCGCUCGGGAAGUCCUAGUAUUUUACAUGCGUA
Picea glauca (white spruce) is the source of this 131-nucleotide non-coding RNA. Lineage: Eukaryota; Viridiplantae; Streptophyta; Pinopsida; Pinales; Pinaceae. The record is from Rfam.